RNAcentral lists this ribosomal RNA (253 nucleotides) under uncultured bacterium. Its description in RNAcentral is "partial 16S ribosomal RNA". It matches the Rfam family "Bacterial small subunit ribosomal RNA", at positions 524 to 776 of the family's 1533-position model. The record is from RNAcentral.
UACGUAGGUGGCAAGCGUUGUCCGGAUUUACUGGGCGUAAAGGGCGUGCAGGCGGUCUGUUAAGUUCAGGGUGAAAGCUCCCGGCUCAACUGGGAGAGGUCCUUGGAUACUGGCAGACUUGAGGAGGGUAGAGGAGAGUGGAAUUCCCGGUGUAGUGGUGAUAUGCGUAGAUAUCGGGAGGAACACCAGCGGCGAAGGCGGCUCUCUGGGCCCUACCUGACGCUGAGACGCGAAAGCGUGGGGAGCGAACCGG